CUCACAUUGAGCCCUGAGGAAUGGAGCCUGCCUUCUAUGGACUGAGACCUCUGAAAGGAAGAAAUCCUGAAUGCAUCCAUCCCCUGUCUGUCUGAGGUCUGGCCUGUCCUUCACCUUUUGGAAGACGAAGUUCAUCAUUAUGCUGAUAGAUCAGCACUACGUCCAACUGCAGUAACCUUUAUAACAAUAACAAUAAAAAAGAUGGACCUCC
Sciurus carolinensis (gray squirrel) is the source of this 211-nucleotide long non-coding RNA. RefSeq lists it as uncharacterized. The record is from RefSeq and is a predicted model, not a curated record. The transcript has 2 exons. NCBI's taxonomy places the organism in Eukaryota, Metazoa, Chordata, Mammalia, Rodentia, Sciuridae.